UCCUCCAAGGCUAAAUACUCCUGACUGACCGAUAGUGAACCAGUACCGUGAGGGAAAGGCGAAAAGAACCCCGGCGAGGGGAGUGAAAAAGAACCUGAAACCGUGUACGUACAAGCAGUGGGAGCACAGGUUUACCUGUGUGACUGCGUACCUUUUGUAUAAUGGGUCAGCGACUUAUAUUCUGUAGCAAGGUUAACCGAAUAGGGGAGCCGGAGGGAAACCGAGUCUUAAUUGGGCGUUAAGUUGCAGGGUAUAGACCCGAAACCCGGUGAUCUAGCCAUGGGCAGGUUGAAGGUUGGGUAACACUAACUGGAGGACCGAACCGAC
RNAcentral lists this ribosomal RNA (327 nucleotides) under Salmonella enterica. RNAcentral describes it as "partial 23S ribosomal RNA". It matches the Rfam family "Bacterial large subunit ribosomal RNA", at positions 456 to 783 of the family's 2925-position model. Lineage: Bacteria; Pseudomonadati; Pseudomonadota; Gammaproteobacteria; Enterobacterales; Enterobacteriaceae. RNAcentral also lists the same sequence under 1 other name. The record is from RNAcentral.